GGGAGUGUCGUUUAAAUGGUAAAACAAUAAUCUCCAAAAUUAUAAAUAAAGGUUCGAAUCCUUUCAUUCCUG
RNAcentral lists this transfer RNA (72 nucleotides) under Beta vulgaris subsp. vulgaris (sugar beet). It matches the Rfam family "tRNA". Rfam says of the family: Transfer RNA (tRNA) molecules are approximately 80 nucleotides in length. Their secondary structure includes four short double-helical elements and three loops (D, anti-codon, and T loops). The record is from Rfam by way of RNAcentral. Lineage: Eukaryota; Viridiplantae; Streptophyta; Magnoliopsida; Caryophyllales; Amaranthaceae.